This is a non-coding RNA of Camellia sinensis, 5197 nucleotides long. NCBI's taxonomy places the organism in Eukaryota, Viridiplantae, Streptophyta, Magnoliopsida, Ericales, Theaceae. The record is from RefSeq and is a predicted model, not a curated record.
UAAAUUCAUGUAUUGUUUCAAUUUUUUUUUUUCUUUCUAUGAUUGAUCUUUAGAUUUUGGUAAAUUUGAUUGUGUAUUGUAUAGUGGGUUUUGUUAAUCGGAUAUUAACAAUUUCAGGUUAUAUUCAUACUACAUUUUUUGUCUUUUUUUUUCUUUUCCAUGUUCACUGUUUGGAUGUUGAGAAAAUUGAGAAAUGAGAAAAUAAAAUAAAACACUGAUUUGUACUUUUCUUUGCUGCUUUAAUUACCUAUAUAUUAGGUUAAGUUUGAGAGAGACUUUGUGUUCUUUUCAGGUCACCGUGAUGAAAACUCUGAACUAUCUACACAUUUUUGUGAUCUUUUAUGUUUUUGUUGCACAGGGGCUUUCAAAAUACAAUUGAAUUUGACUAACUAUUAUGUUCCUGUAUUUAGUUUUUGGUGUAUUUGUUUAUGUGAGUAUGUAACUGUGUGUAUGUUUGAGCUGAAAAUUUUAAAUAAUUGUCACAAUGGUAAUUGUGUAUGAAGCUUGUUUGAGCAAAAAUAUAUUUUGCAGUAGUUUAAGUGGUGCACCUUUUUUUCUUUUUUUUUUUAUGAGUAAUGGUGUUUGUUCACAGUAGGCGCAAUAGGUAUACUGCUCACACUGUAUUGCAGCUGUUAAGAAAGCUAACCACAUUUUUUUUACGUCUUCUGUUUGAUAGAUUAGUCCAUCUCAGAGAAUUCUGUUAUUUUGCUCUGUUCAAUGGAAAGAAAAUGGAUUUUUUUUUUGGAAAUUGAGGGUCUUGUCUUGCCUGAAUAGUUUAACUAUCAAUGCACUGCAUAAUUUGAAGGAUAUGGCAUUUGUUGAGUUUUGCAAUUUUUCUCUGGGAAUAUCAAGUUAGUUUGUUCCCCAUCAAAAUAUAUGUUUUAUAUAUUUAUUAUAUGUUGAAUGUAUUAUUAAUGUUUCAUUUAAAAUUGAUACACAUAUUCAAAAUAACAUGAAUUCUUCAAGUUUAUGGGAUGAUGAGAUAAUAGGGUAUGAUAAAAGUCAUGUUAGAAAAUCUGAAAGUAACUUUUGAAAUGAAAAAUGAUGGAAAAACAAUAAUGUAAUUAUUUGAUUCUAAAAGAGUAUUUUCUCAAGGGUAUUUUGUGAAUCCAAUGAGAGCAGUGGUAUAUGAUCCGAAUGAUUUCUCUGAAUUUUUCAUUCGACACUACAUGACAUUCCUAUUAAAUACUUGCCAUCAACUACAAUUAUGGAAUUUUUUGCUUUGUGAUCAAUCAUGAUAAUCUGGUUGUUCUUGUAGAAUCUUUAUUAGAGAUACUUAGUUAUCUUUGAUGAAGCUCUAUAUCAUAAUCUAUCAAGAGCAUUGUAGGAACUUUUAGUUUCUUCAUUAAUAUGCUUCAUGCUAGAAAUGCUUCUAGCAUGCUUGAUAAUUUUGAUUCAGAUUGCACCACCGGGAUGCAAAAAUCAUGACAAUUGUUUAUUUAGUAAGUAAUUAUCCAUGAAUGCAUAAAUGGCCUUAGACCCGUCCAUAAAUCUUCAUUAGAGAUAUCUAGUUAUCUUUGAUGAGGCUCUUCUUGGAUUGUCCAGUUUGGACAAUUUAGGAGCACACGUCUAUGUUGUAAUUAGUAGUUCUACCACUUAAAUGUAGUCUAUCUCGUAUAGAUUUCGUAUAGUAGCUCCUCAUGUGCUUCGGGUGCAUAGUAAUACAUCCAGUCUAUGUCAUGUACUUGGAGAACCAUGGGGAGAUGUUGCCGAAGUUUGGUUAGAGAUGGAUAGAGUGGUAUGAGCUACUUUUUACAAGAUAAACUGUGCAUUCCUAAAUGGGAAAGUAGGAUGAACCAACCUAUUAGAGAAGAGUUAGAGGUGAAUGGUGUCAUGUCACAUGCAUUUUAAGGUACUUAAUUAAGGUUAAGAAUAAUUAAAAUGAAAUGAUAAUUUUGAACUUUGUUGAUUAGGCAGUGACAAUUGUAUUGUAAGACGAAGUCAGAUGGAUAAAAAUUAGAUAAAUCAACAUAGGUUGCAUCUAGAAUAUAUAAAAGGGGUUAAGGAAUUCGUUAAACUUGUAUGCCAAAAUAAUCCUUUAUCAAAUGAAGUCACAUGCCCAUGUAAAUGGUGUUGGAAUGUCAAACUAGUAAAGAAAGACCUUUUAAGGGAACAUUUAAUGGUCAAUGGGUUUCUUCCAAGCUACACCAGAUGGAUUUUUCACGGGGAAGAUUUACUGGUGUCUGUGCCAUUCAAUGAGAAUAUCAGUGAUUCGAAUGAUGGCGAUGAAGUCAUUGAAAUAAUAUAUAAGGGGUUCGGACUUCCUCCACCAAGCUUGGUUCAUCUUGCUAGUAAUGAGACAAGAAGUUCUAAUAUCGAACUAGGCCCAAAUAAGAAAACUGAAAAAAAAUUUAUUGAAGGAGGCCGAAAGAGAGUUGCAUCCAGAGUGUCACAAGUUUUCAACGCUCUCAUUUGUUGUUCGCUUAUUGCAUAUCAAGUGCCUUAGUGGAUGUAGCGACAAGUCUUUUACAAUGUUGUUUAAACUUUUGAAGGAUGCAUUCUCAAAAGGUGAAACUUUGCCAAAGUCAUUCUAUGCAACGAGGGUACUCCUUAGGGAAUUGGGCCUCGAUUAUCACAAUGUACAUGCAUGCCCAAGAGAUUGCUCACUGUAUUGAAAGGAGACAGCUAGUAAGGAUGAUUGCAUAGUGUGUCAGAUGCCUAGAUACAAAUAGUUUGAGGGUGAGAAAAAUAAUUAUAAAAAAAAAAAAAGCAACAAAGAAUUCUCUAGAAGAUUGUGAGAUACUUUCCUGUAAUUCCAAGGCUUCAAAGAUUGUUCAUGUCAUCCAAAACUACUUCAUUAAUGAGAUGGCGUGCAGAGGGCUGAAUUGAUGACGGCAGAAUGAGACAUCCUGCUGACUCUCCGGUCUGGAAAAAUUUUGAUACUUUGUAUCCCAAGUUUGUGAGUGAGCCUCGCAAUGUUAGACUAAGUUUAGCAACGGAUGAAUUUAAUCCAUUCAAGGCAAUGAAUGUUGCUCACAACAAUUGGCUAGUUAUUGAGAUGCCUUAUAAUUUGCCACCGUUGUUGGGUAUGAAGCAACCUCAUAUGAUGAUGAUAUUGCUCAUUAAUGGUCUUUCUUCACCUAGAAAUAACAUUGAUGUCUACUUGGGCUUGAUAGUGGAUGAACUGAAUGAAUUGUGAAAAAAUGGUGUUUAGACGUACGAUGCAGAAACUAAUCAAAUGUUCCAAUUGCACGCAAUCUUACUGUGGACAAUAAAUGAUUUUCUUACAUAUGCAAAUUUUUCUGGAUGGAGCACGAACGGCACUUUCGCUUGUCCUUGUUGUAACAUACGUACUCGACAUCGGUAUUUGAAGAAUGGAAGGAAAAUUUGUUACAUGGGGCAUCACCACUGGUUGAAUGCGAGUCAUAAAUUUUGAAAAGAUGGUGCAUCUUUUGAUGGAACUUCUGAAUUGAACCAUGUCCAACUCAGUUAUCAAGGGCUAAUGUGUUACGACAGUUAGGGCUUAAGCAUCAACCAAUUAACAGACAAAAAAAAACUAGGAAAUAAAAGGAUAAAGAGGACGAUGAGGAGAAUCAUGAUUGGAGGAAAAGGAGUACUUUCUUUGAGCUUCCAUAUUGGGAGCAUAAUUUGAUUUGCCAUAAUCUUAAUGAAAUGCACAUUGAGAAGAACGUGUGUGAUAAUAUAUUGUGGACGAUAUUAAAUAUUGAAGGGAAAGGAAAGGACAAUUUAAGACUUGCAAGAUAUGGGAAUUCGAAAGGCACUACAUCCUAAAAAAGGGGUUAGGAACCGGUAUUAUUUGCCGCAUGCAUGUUUCGCUACGAAUAAUAGAGAGAGAGGUUUGUUUUGUACACUCCUGAAGAAUAUCAAAGUUCUAGAUGGGUAUGCAUCCAAUAUUUCUCGUCGUGUUAACUUAAACAACAUAGCAUAUUUGGAUUGAAAAGUCAUGACAACCAUAUGUUGAUGCAACAAAUACUUCCAAUAGUAGUGAGAAAUUUGUUGUCGAAGAAAGUGGUUGAACCAUUGAUUGAGUUAAACAAUUUCUUCAGGCAAUUGUGCUCCAAAACUCUAGAGCCAGAUAGGUUAAAUCGUCUUUAAUCCCAAAGUGCUCUUACACUUUGCCAUCUUGAGAGAAUUUUUCCUCCAUCCUUUUUCGAUAUAAUGGAGCACUUGCCCAUUCACCUAGCAGAGGAGGCCAAGAUUGCCGGUUCAGUGCAAUAUUGUUGGAUGUACUUUAUAGAAAGGUGUACAAUUCUACUCCAUUUUGCAUUUGUAUUCAUUUGUUUGUUUAUAAUUGAAAGUCAUGCGUGCAUUUGUUUGUUUAUAGUUAUCUUAUGACACUUAAAUCAUAUAUGCGUAAUCGAAGUCAUCCAAAAGGUUCAAUUGCAGAGGGAUACUUAGUUGAAGAGUGUAUGACCUUUUGCUCAAGGUACUUAGAUGAUGUCGAGUCAAAAUUGAAUCAACCGAUAAGGAAUUACGAUGUUAGCAACAAUCCUAGGAUAUUACUGGGUCAUGCUUUAGGAAAAGGAAAAGGGCUUGUGCUUGAUAACACAUCAUGGGUACAAGCUCAUCGAUGUGUGUUAUUUAACACUGCAGCGGUUGUCCCAUAUCGAGAGUAAGUUACACAUCUUUGUUCCAAAAUUUUAUUGAUCCAUUAAUCAGUAUCUUGCAUUUUAUAAGUACUUUAAAUGUGUAGGGAGCAUUGUGAUUUUAUUAAGCGGUUACAUUGUCAUCUCAAAGAUUUUGAUGUGGAUCGCCGUCACAAUGAUGAGUUUCCCAUAUGGUUCAAUUCUCAUCAUGACAGAUCAAUGAUGCUCUAGGCAGAGGCAACAUUCAGCCUCUGCAAAUUUUGAGAGUUCUUAUAGUGGGAGUUCAGAUGAGAGUUCUUAUAGUGGAAGUUCAGAUAAAAGUUUAGAGGAGAGUACACGCAUCAUACCUGAUCCAACCAUGUCAUGGUAUCCUCCAGGUAGCUUGCCUAGUACUGGUUCAACACAUGACAUUGCAGCUGGUCAUAGUUCAAGAAGCCCGACAGUCUUGCAUGGUAGUGAUUGGAACCCAAGUGAUGGCAUUUUACAUAUUGUGCCUAAUGAGUUGAACCAAGUGGUUGACGGGCAUACACAUUUGGCUUCUUGUUUGGGUGUUUUAGCUCGAGAUGGGAACCUUACGCCCUUUACUUAGAGAACUUGAAGCCAUGUACUAAAGGAAAAUAAAGAGAGAAUUUGGAGAGAAGUUAAGGUAA